This 468-nucleotide ribosomal RNA is filed under the name uncultured bacterium. RNAcentral's name for it is "partial 16S ribosomal RNA". It matches the Rfam family "Bacterial small subunit ribosomal RNA", at positions 28 to 507 of the family's 1533-position model. The record is from RNAcentral.
GACGAACGCUGGCGGCGUGCUUAACACAUGCAAGUCGAACGGUGAAGCUCCAGCUUGCUGGAGUGGAUCAGUGGCGAACGGGUGAGUAACACGCGAGCAACCUGCCCCUGACUCUGGAAUAAGCGCUGGAAACGGCGUCUAAUACUGGAUACGAGAAGGGUCCGCAUGGGCACUUUCUGGAAAGUUUUUCGGUUGGGGAUGGGCUCGCGGCCUAUCAGCUUGUUGGUGAGGUAAUGGCUCACCAAGGCGACGACGGGUAGCCGGCCUGAGAGGGCGACCGGCCACACUGAGACUGAGACACGGCCCAGACUCCUACGGGAGGCAGCAGUGGGGAAUAUUGCACAAUGGGCGAAAGCCUGAUGCAGCGACGCCGCGUGAGGGAUGACGGCCUUCGGGUUGUAAACCUCUUUCAGCAGGGAAGAAGCGAAAGUGACGGUACCUGCAGAAGAAGCACCGGCUAACUACGUG